This is a long non-coding RNA of Oncorhynchus tshawytscha (Chinook salmon), 1439 nucleotides long. Lineage: Eukaryota; Metazoa; Chordata; Actinopteri; Salmoniformes; Salmonidae. The record is from Ensembl.
GGAUGGUAUAGCAUUAUAUGCUCUGCUCCUGAUGUCGUCACGGCGAUUGAGACACACUGCUGUCAGGUGGAGAGGACAAUGUUUUGGGGGAACGCAGAUUUAGUUUUGUUUUAUUUUGUUUUAAAGGAAAUGUUAGCCCGACCUGGUAAUGUACAUAGUAGGACCAAGUCCCCUUUUUGUCAGUCAGUACUUUCUUCAAUACUCUACUCCUCUUAUGAAAUGCAGGAUUUUAAGCCUUCUUACUGUGUACGUGGAAGUGUAUGAGUGUGUGUUUCUAUGAAUAUGACCAUUGUGAUCCUGAUGGUUUUGGGCUAGAGGAGGACAGAAGGGAUGUAGGGGGAGAUCAGAUCUCCCUGUAAUGACCGACGGCACCGCUUAUUAUUACAAUCCCCUCACUGAAGACUGCACUGUCUGGAAUGGCACCCUACUACCCAUAGGGCGCUGGUCAAAAUAGUGCACUACUACCCAUAGGACGCUGGUCAAAAGUAGUGCACUACGUGCCAUUCCAGAUGCAGCCCAUUUGUCUUUAUUAGGAGUGGUCUGUGUUUUGGGUGUUUCCAUUCCCAUCUUACUGUAUGGGGGUGCUUGGUCGAGGUGGAGGGAAUUGAACCAUGGUCUCCUACAGCACUUAGUUACUUAAGUGCAUUGACCACCAGCUUCUGUCUUGACGCUAACCCAACGGUGAUAACUGCUAGCCGUUAUCGUUAGUGAUGCUAACCCAACGGUGCUAGCUGUUAACAUUAGUGAUGCUAACCCAACGGUGCUAACUGCUAGCAAUUAACAUUACAGUGAUGCUAACCCAACGGUGCUAACUGCUAGCCGUUAUCAUUAUAGUGAUGCUAACCCAAUGGUGCUAGCUGUUGACAUUAGUGAUGCUAACCCAACGGCGUGAACUGCUAGCAGUUAACAUUACAUUGAUGCUAAGCCAACGGUGCUAGCCAUUAACAUUACAGUGACACAGAGCAGUGUGUAUGAGGUUAUACUGUUAUACUGCUCUCCAUGUACAUUGUCCUACAAGGACAUUUCAGAAAAAGUAGUAUCUACCGAUCUGGAGAAAGAGAUUUGCUCUUUGUAAAGCUGUCCCCAAGUGUCCAGGUGAACUGAACCCAAAUUCACCGUCCUAUAGGACCAUUGAAAAUCCAAUGGUACAUGCAUUUACCUGAUAGAAUAUAUUUUAUUAGCAAAGAAAUGUUUUUAAUCUGCUCUUCAAGUUGUAUUGCUUGUUCUUGUUUCCACCCGUACUAUUCUGUGUGUAUUAGUUGUUUGUCCUUUUUAUGCUCCCAAAUCUUUUAAUGUCAUUUUGUAUAAAUAUAUAUCCUUUUUUUUUUUUUUUUGCAUAGGAAAUGUUGUCGAAAUGAUGCAUCAUACUUGUAUCUGUUAUUGUUGGUCUUUUAAUAAAAAAAUACAUAUCUCAAACGAUUCCGGUGUAGCAAACGUUA